Long non-coding RNA from Sphaeramia orbicularis (orbiculate cardinalfish), 114 nucleotides. RefSeq lists it as uncharacterized. The record is from RefSeq and is a predicted model, not a curated record. The transcript has 3 exons. Lineage: Eukaryota; Metazoa; Chordata; Actinopteri; Kurtiformes; Apogonidae.
UCUGCCGAUUCAUUGGGGCAAAAAAUGAGUGGAUUUCUACUUUUCAGUUCCUUCUUAAUUUAAUAUGUUUUAUAACUAGUUACGUCACGACAUUUGCACAUUUAAGCUCAAGAG